RNAcentral lists this ribosomal RNA (1325 nucleotides) under unidentified marine bacterioplankton. Its description in RNAcentral is "bacterial SSU rRNA". It matches the Rfam family "Bacterial small subunit ribosomal RNA", at positions 9 to 1315 of the family's 1533-position model. The record is from RNAcentral.
GAGUUUGAUCAUGGCUCAGGAUGAACGCUGGCGGCGUGCCUAAUACAUGCAAGUCGAGCGAACAGACGAGGAGCUUGCUCCUCUGACGUUAGCGGCGGACGGGUGAGUAACACGUGGAUAACCUACCUAUAAGACUGGGAUAACUUCGGGAAACCGGAGCUAAUACCGGAUAAUAUAUUGAACCGCAUGGUUCAAUAGUGAAAGACGGUUUUGCUGUCACUUAUAGAUGGAUCCGCGCCGCAUUAGCUAGUUGGUAAGGUAACGGCUUACCAAGGCAACGAUGCGUAGCCGACCUGAGAGGGUGAUCGGCCACACUGGAACUGAGACACGGUCCAGACUCCUACGGGAGGCAGCAGUAGGGAAUCUUCCGCAAUGGGCGAAAGCCUGACGGAGCAACGCCGCGUGAGUGAUGAAGGUCUUCGGAUCGUAAAACUCUGUUAUUAGGGAAGAACAAAUGUGUAAGUAACUAUGCACGUCUUGACGGUACCUAAUCAGAAAGCCACGGCUAACUACGUGCCAGCAGCCGCGGUAAUACGUAGGUGGCAAGCGUUAUCCGGAAUUAUUGGGCGUAAAGCGCGCGUAGGCGGUUUUUUAAGUCUGAUGUGAAAGCCCACGGCUCAACCGUGGAGGGUCAUUGGAAACUGGAAAACUUGAGUGCAGAAGAGGAAAGUGGAAUUCCAUGUGUAGCGGUGAAAUGCGCAGAGAUAUGGAGGAACACCAGUGGCGAAGGCGACUUUCUGGUCUGUAACUGACGCUGAUGUGCGAAAGCGUGGGGAUCAAACAGGAUUAGAUACCCUGGUAGUCCACGCCGUAAACGAUGAGUGCUAAGUGUUAGGGGGUUUCCGCCCCUUAGUGCUGCAGCUAACGCAUUAAGCACUCCGCCUGGGGAGUACGACCGCAAGGUUGAAACUCAAAGGAAUUGACGGGGACCCGCACAAGCGGUGGAGCAUGUGGUUUAAUUCGAAGCAACGCGAAGAACCUUACCAAAUCUUGACAUCCUCUGACCCCUCUAGAGAUAGAGUUUUCCCCUUCGGGGGACAGAGUGACAGGUGGUGCAUGGUUGUCGUCAGCUCGUGUCGUGAGAUGUUGGGUUAAGUCCCGCAACGAGCGCAACCCUUAAGCUUAGUUGCCAUCAUUAAGUUGGGCACUCUAAGUUGACUGCCGGUGACAAACCGGAGGAAGGUGGGGAUGACGUCAAAUCAUCAUGCCCCUUAUGAUUUGGGCUACACACGUGCUACAAUGGACAAUACAAAGGGUAGCGAAACCGCGAGGUCAAGCAAAUCCCAUAAAGUUGUUCUCAGUUCGGAUUGUAGUCUGCAACUCGA